CGGCACGGGUGAGUAACACGUAGGUAAUGUACCUUUGGGUGGGGAAUAACUUAGGGAAACUUAAGCUAAUACCGCAUAAUGCAGCGGCUCCUUCGGGAGACAGUUGUUAAAGAUUUAUCGCCUAAAGAGCAGCCUGCGGCAGAUUAGCUAGUUGGUAAGGUAACGGCUUACCAAGGCUACGAUCUGUAUCCGACCUGAGAGGGUGGUCGGACACACUGACACUGAAUAACGGGUCAG
This 237-nucleotide ribosomal RNA is filed under the name uncultured bacterium. RNAcentral's name for it is "partial 16S ribosomal RNA". It matches the Rfam family "Bacterial small subunit ribosomal RNA", at positions 100 to 334 of the family's 1533-position model. The record is from RNAcentral.